UACGGAGGGGGCUAGCGUUGUUCGGAAUUACUGGGCGUAAAGCGCACGUAGGCGGUUUCUCAAGUCAGAGGUGAAAGCCCGGAGCUCAACUCCGGAAUAGCCUUUGAAACUAGGAAACUUGAACACGGGAGAGGUGAGUGGAAUUCCGAGUGUAGAGGUGAAAUUCGUAGAUAUUCGGAAGAACACCAGUGGCGAAGGCGGCUCACUGGCCCGGUACUGACGCUGAGGUGCGAAAGCGUGGGGAGCAAACAGG
RNAcentral lists this ribosomal RNA (253 nucleotides) under uncultured bacterium. Its description in RNAcentral is "partial 16S ribosomal RNA". It matches the Rfam family "Bacterial small subunit ribosomal RNA", at positions 524 to 776 of the family's 1533-position model. The record is from RNAcentral.